GUCGGGAGUUAGGAAAUGCAGGUUGGUUAAUACCCAACCUGUUUGACAAAGGCCCCAAAGGAAGCCACGGCUAACUCUGUGCCAGCAGCCGCGGUAAUACAGAGGUGGCAAGCGUUGUUCGGUAUUAUUGGGCGUAAAGAGCACGUAGGUGGUUUUGUAAGUCAGAUGUGAAAGCCUUCUGUUCAAAGGAAGAACGGCAUCUGAGACUGCAGAUCUUGAGUGUAGGAGGGGAGAGUGGAACUUCUGGU
RNAcentral lists this ribosomal RNA (248 nucleotides) under uncultured Planctomycetales bacterium. RNAcentral's name for it is "partial 16S ribosomal RNA". It matches the Rfam family "Bacterial small subunit ribosomal RNA", at positions 434 to 674 of the family's 1533-position model. The record is from RNAcentral. Lineage: Bacteria; Pseudomonadati; Planctomycetota; Planctomycetia; Planctomycetales.